GUGCCAGCCGCCGCGGUAAUACGAACUGUGCGAACGUUAUUCGGAAUCACUGGGCUUAAAGGGUGCGUAGGCGGUUCGUUAAGUCAGGUGUGAAAUCCCUCGGCUCAACCGGGGAAUUGCGCUUGAAACUAGCGGGCUGGAGCGAGGCAGGGGUAUGUGGAACUUCCGGUGGAGCGGUGAAAUGUGUAGAUAUCGGAAGGAACGCCGGUGGCGAAAGCGGCAUACUGGGCCUUGUCUGACGCUGAGGCACGAAAGCCAGGGGAGUGAACGGGAUUAGAUACCCCGGUAAUCCUGGCCGUAAACACGGAGCACUGGAGGGGAGGGGCUUCGGCCUUUUCCCUCGCAGCGAAAGCGUUAAGUGCUCCGCCUGGGGAGUAUGGUCGCAAGGCUGAA
This 393-nucleotide ribosomal RNA is filed under the name uncultured bacterium. Its description in RNAcentral is "bacterial SSU rRNA". It matches the Rfam family "Bacterial small subunit ribosomal RNA", at positions 505 to 898 of the family's 1533-position model. The record is from RNAcentral.